CAGGAGGCGCAAGUUCAAUGAAGACAAGGAUAUUGACUCGAUCAACGACCGGAAUGAGCACUUCAACAAGAAGAUUGAGCGUGCCUUUGGCAAGUACACGCUCGAGAUCAAGAACAACCUGGAAAGAGGUACUGCCUUGCCAGACUAAAACCUUACACAGCAGCUCGGGUUCAAGAACAGCAUGGAAAGAGGUACUGGCUUGUCAGACUAAAACCAUACACAGCAGCUAUCUUAUGGCAUUCAAGCUAACUACUCGACUAGAGGCGAGUGUCCCUGGUGGUGUUUUCCUUUUCACAUGGUUACUUCUUGUAUGCUUGUAACUUUUGGCCACAGUUCCAUUGUGACUUGUAAGAAACCUGAAAUGGGU
Molecule: long non-coding RNA, 367 nt
Filed under: Sorghum bicolor (sorghum)
Lineage: Eukaryota; Viridiplantae; Streptophyta; Magnoliopsida; Poales; Poaceae
Description: long non-coding RNA (SBIC_LNC018400)
Source: RNAcentral